UCCUGUGGAUUCUGUGGGUCAUGUGGGUUGCAGGGUGGGUCCUACCUAGACCAGGCUGAUCCUGGACCAUCCCACAGAUGCUCAAUCAGAUGUGGAUGUGGGGAGUGUGGAACCCAGAUGUUCAGAGGGAGAUGAUGCCACAUCUGGUCCAGCUGAUGGAAGGUCUUGAAGUUCUCUGACUGGCCUCGACUGAAGAUGGUCGUCUCACUGGAUUUAAGGUUCAGAUGCUCAGUAACAAACUCCACCAAUGAGCCAACAGGGAAGCUUUAGGUUUAUUAAAUGUUGCUAUGAAGGUAUCGCUGUUUUUCUUUGUGACUGCAAUGUGCUCCAACUGAAACUUGAAUUAGAACUCAGAAGUAAAUCCUUCCAUCUGAAAGGAUUUAGUUGCAUUAAUAACCUCAUAAUAUUCUAAUUUUUAUUCCAGUCUUGGUUGGAAAUAGAAUCUCUGUAUUGAUUCAGGUAAAAACUGAACUUCACAGCAUUUUGGAGCAAAACAACCAGAUGAAAACUGUGAUGGUGUUGGAUUGUCAGACCGUAAUGUUGCAGCUCAAAGCAGCUUUUCUAUCUCAGUUCAUUCUGACAUUCAGCUAUGAAUCAACACAGCAGAUGGUGAUCCAUGCUGUGGAAGUCUCACAUCUCCUGAUUUAAUGGAGCUGCUUUGCACUUUUUACACUGUUUAUUCACCAACACUUUAUUUAAUAAGAGUCCCAUCUAGUUUUUAUG
This is a long non-coding RNA of Amphiprion ocellaris (clown anemonefish), 723 nucleotides long. Lineage: Eukaryota; Metazoa; Chordata; Actinopteri; Pomacentridae. The record is from Ensembl.